Molecule: transfer RNA, 77 nt
Filed under: Acholeplasmataceae bacterium
Lineage: Bacteria; Bacillati; Mycoplasmatota; Mollicutes; Acholeplasmatales; Acholeplasmataceae
Also listed under: 1 other name
Description: tRNA-Arg
Rfam family: tRNA
About the family: Transfer RNA (tRNA) molecules are approximately 80 nucleotides in length. Their secondary structure includes four short double-helical elements and three loops (D, anti-codon, and T loops). Further hydrogen bonds mediate the characteristic L-shaped molecular structure. tRNAs have two regions of fundamental functional importance: the anti-codon, which is responsible for specific mRNA codon recognition, and the 3' end, to which the tRNAs corresponding amino acid is attached (by aminoacyl-tRNA synthetases). tRNAs cope with the degeneracy of the genetic code in two manners: having more than one tRNA (with a specific anti-codon) for a particular amino acid; and 'wobble' base-pairing, i.e. permitting non-standard base-pairing at the 3rd anti-codon position.
Source: RNAcentral
GACUCGGUAGCUCAGCUGGAUAGAGCAACGGCCUUCUAAGCCGUCGGUCAGGCGUUCGAAUCGCCUCCGAGUCGCCA